Molecule: long non-coding RNA, 163 nt
Organism: Nomascus leucogenys (northern white-cheeked gibbon)
Lineage: Eukaryota; Metazoa; Chordata; Mammalia; Primates; Hylobatidae
Exons: 3
Source: RefSeq, a predicted model, not a curated record
UUGCCCUCUCUUCCCACCUCAUAGGCUACACCUUGACCUAACAUUUUUAUGUGUAUACUUGUGCUUACUUUGCAACCUUUCUAGGGUUUGCUGAAGAUGGCAGCACAUAGGCUGGGGGCAAGAGGUGGUGAGGUGCAUUGGGGUUUCUCAAUUAUAGAACAGG